This 422-nucleotide ribosomal RNA is filed under the name Verrucomicrobiota bacterium. RNAcentral's name for it is "Verrucomicrobia bacterium partial 16S ribosomal RNA". It matches the Rfam family "Bacterial small subunit ribosomal RNA", at positions 355 to 776 of the family's 1533-position model. The record is from RNAcentral. Lineage: Bacteria; Pseudomonadati; Verrucomicrobiota.
UGGGGAAUAUUGCACAAUGGGCGAAAGCCUGAUGCAGCGACGCCGCGUGAGGGAUGGAGGCCUUCGGGUUGUAAACCUCUUUCAGUAAGGGUGAAGGCUCUCUUUUGUGGAGGGUUGACAGUACUUGCAGAAGAAGCGCCGGCUAACUACGUGCCAGCAGCCGCGGUAAUACGUAGGGCGCGAGCGUUGUCCGGAAUUAUUGGGCGUAAAGGGCUUGUAGGUGGCGUGUCGCGUCUGCUGUGAAAUUCCAGGGCUUAACUUUGGGAUUGCAGUGGGUACGGGCAUGCUAGAGUGCAGUAGGGGAGAUUGGAAUUCCUGGUGUAGCGGUGAAAUGCGCAGAUAUCAGGAGGAACACCGGUGGCGAAGGCGGGUCUCUGGGCUGAUACUGACGCUGAGGAGCGAAAGCGUGGGGAGCGAACAGG